GACGAACGCUGGCGGCGUGCCUAAUACAUGCAAGUCGAACGCAUUUUCUUUCACCGUAGCUUGCUACACCGAAAGAAAAUGAGUGGCGAACGGGUGAGUAACACGUGGGUAACCUGCCCAUCAGCGGGGGAUAACACUUGGAAACAGGUGCUAAUACCGCAUAAUUCCAUUUACCGCAUGGUAGAUGGAUGAAAGGCGCUUUUGCGUCACUGAUGGAUGGACCCGCGGUGCAUUAGCUAGUUGGUGGGGUAACGGCCUACCAAGGCUGCGAUGCAUAGCCGACCUGAGAGGGUGAUCGGCCACACUGGGACUGAGACACGGCCCGGACUCCUACGGGAGGCAGCAGUAGGGAAUCUUCGGCAAUGGACGCAAGUCUGACCGAGCAACGCCGCGUGAGUGAAGAAGGUUUUCGGAUCGUAAAACUCUGUUGUUAGAGAAGAACAAGGAUGAGAGUGGAAAGUUCAUCCCUUGACGGUAUCUAACCAGAAAGCCACGGCUAACUACGUG
This 507-nucleotide ribosomal RNA is filed under the name uncultured bacterium. RNAcentral describes it as "partial 16S ribosomal RNA". It matches the Rfam family "Bacterial small subunit ribosomal RNA", at positions 28 to 507 of the family's 1533-position model. The record is from RNAcentral.